This 254-nucleotide ribosomal RNA is filed under the name uncultured bacterium. RNAcentral describes it as "partial 16S ribosomal RNA". It matches the Rfam family "Bacterial small subunit ribosomal RNA", at positions 524 to 776 of the family's 1533-position model. The record is from RNAcentral.
GACGAACCGUACGAACGUUAUUCGGAAUUACUGGGCUUAAAGGGUUUGUAGGCGGCCUUGUAAGUCAGGUGUGAAAUCCCUCGGCUUAACCGGGGAACUGCGUCUGAUACUGGAUGGCUUGAGUUUGGGAGAGGGAUGCGGAAUUCCAGGUGUAGCGGUGAAAUGCGUAGAUAUCUGGAGGAACACCGGUGGCGAAGGCGGCAUCCUGGACCAACACUGACGCUGAGUGAGCGAAAGCCAGGGGAGCAAACGGG